GAUGAAGAACGUAGCAAAAUGCGAUACUUGGUGUGAAUUGCAGAAUCCCGUGAACCAUCGAGUCUUUGAACGCAAGUUGCGCCCGAAGCCACUAGGCGGAGGGCACGCCUGCCUGGGCGUCACACGUCGUUGCCCCCCCCCAUCUACUCCUUCGGGAUUGCGGGGGGCGGAUGAUGGCCUCCCGUGCGCCUAGCCGCGCGGUUGGCAUAAAUACCAAGUCCUCGGCGACGCACGCCACGACAAUCGGUGGUUGCGAAACCUCGGUUGCCCGUCGUGUGCGUUCGUCGCGCAUCGAGGGCUCGAAAAAAUGCUCGGCUCCGGCUCGGCUUUCAACGCGACCCCAGGUCAGGCGGGGUUACCCGCUGAAUUUAAGCAUAUCAAUAAGCGGAGGA
Molecule: unclassified non-coding RNA, 392 nt
Filed under: soil metagenome
Description: partial contains 5.8S ribosomal RNA, internal transcribed spacer 2, and large subunit ribosomal RNA
Rfam family: 5.8S ribosomal RNA (bases 1-122)
Source: RNAcentral